Small nuclear RNA from Rattus norvegicus (Norway rat), 177 nucleotides. Ensembl annotates it as U4 spliceosomal RNA. Lineage: Eukaryota; Metazoa; Chordata; Mammalia; Rodentia; Muridae. The record is from Ensembl.
AGCUUUGUGCAGUGGCAGUAUUGUAGCCAAUGAGAUUUAUCCGAGGCGGGAUUAUUGCUAAUUAAAAUAAAGCGAUAUUCCCCAAUAGGCAGCUGAGGGAACUAGGAAUGACUAUUGUGCCCAUGCGUACUUUUCUGUUGAACUGAUAUAAUUAAUUUUUCAACAAUAUUCCUAUAA